AAGUGGCGCACGGGUGAGUAACACGUGAAUUAUCUACCUCCGAGUGGGGAAUAACUGAGAGAAAUCUUAGCUAAUACCGCAUAACACUUACGAGUCAAAGCAGCAAUGCGCUUGGAGAGGAGUUCGCGGCCGAUUAGUUAGUUGGCGGGGUAAUGGCCCACCAAGACGAUGAUCGGUAUCCGGCCUGAGAGGGCGCACGGACACACUGGAACUGAAACACGGUCCAGACUCCUACGGGAGGCAGCAGUGGGGAAUUUUGCGCAAUGGGGGAAACCCUGACGCAGCAACGCCGCGUGGAGGAUGAAAUCCCUUGGGAUGUAAACUCCUUUCGAUAGGGAAGAUAAUGACGGUACCUAUAGAAGAAGCCCCGGCUAACUUCGUGCCAGCAGCCGCGGUAAUACGAGGGGGGCAAGCGUUGUUCGGAAUUAUUGGGCGUAAAGGGUGCGUAGGCGGUUUGGCAAGUCUUAUGUGAAAUCUUCGGGCUCAACCCGAAGCCUGCACGAGAAACUGCCGGGCUUGAGUAUGGGAGAGGUGAGUGGAAUUUCCGGUGUAGCGGUGAAAUGCGUAGAUAUCGGAAGGAACACCUGUGGCGAAAGCGGCUCACUGGACCAUAAC
This 615-nucleotide ribosomal RNA is filed under the name uncultured bacterium. RNAcentral's name for it is "bacterial SSU rRNA". It matches the Rfam family "Bacterial small subunit ribosomal RNA", at positions 93 to 740 of the family's 1533-position model. The record is from RNAcentral.